GUUAACGCCAUCCUGUGGUGUUCAGAGGACGAGUUGGAAAUAACAUCCACAUUUCCUUCUUGUUUUAAUGUAGCACAUUAAUUUAGAACAGUAAACAGUCAGUUUCACCGAAACUCCUUUAGUAGGUGUCCUACAUCACUUUUUUAUGGACACCCUGCAGCCAAUCAGAAUCGAGUAUUCACCCACCCAUUCACCAUGGUAUAAAAAUGAUUAAACAUGUUUUUUUCU
Molecule: long non-coding RNA, 228 nt
Organism: Sander lucioperca (pikeperch)
Lineage: Eukaryota; Metazoa; Chordata; Actinopteri; Perciformes; Percidae
Exons: 3
Source: RefSeq, a predicted model, not a curated record